Molecule: long non-coding RNA, 1280 nt
Organism: Aegilops tauschii subsp. strangulata
Lineage: Eukaryota; Viridiplantae; Streptophyta; Magnoliopsida; Poales; Poaceae
Source: RefSeq, a predicted model, not a curated record
GCAGCGGGGAUGAAGUUUCACGCGAAGGGUGUGUUGUGCGCAGAUGCGGGUUUGUUUUACGACAGUUGCGUGGCUGUUGUAUAUUUGCAUCACAUGAGGCCAAAAUAUGUGGCUGCCCUAGAAAAAUUGCAGCACGAUUUAGGGAUAGCUCCGUUUUUUGGUCCAAAUGCCCUAAAAACGUGGACAGUCACCCUUUUAGAGCAUCUUCAACCCGAUUCCUCAAAAGCGGUUAGAGGAGUAAAAUUUUAGUUUUAAAGACUUAAACGGACCUAGUCAAUCCCUUAUCCCCUUUCGAAGAGUCCCCAUAUAUUUACUCGAUCGGUGCCACUUCUCAUGGAAAAAAAAAAACCCCACACCCCCCGAGGUCGCCUCUCUCCCCCGGUCGACCGCAUCCACUCUGGCACAGCUAUCCUUGCCUCUGUCGGCGACCACGCGCCACUGUAGUAGCCCCGCCGCUCCUCCGCUCACUUCGAUUCAGUUGCCGGUCGUCCCUGCGCUGCCGAGUUCGAUGCACCUACGCUCGUCACCUCCGUCGCCGGAUUCGACACACCUAUGCCCCGGCGCCAUUGUAUUUCGUCGAGGAACGUCAGAAACCAAACCACACAGCCACCCGGAGCUCACCACGCCGCCUCUUGGUCGACUGGCUUGGCUCUAGCCCAGCAGCUCAUCGGUGUGCCUUCAUCGAUCAUCAAGUGAGAUGACUGUUGGCGGCCGGUGCUGCGUCGGGUCUCAGAGGCGAUAGGCCAUCCCGGAUGGGUUUUUUCAAGUGCAAAAUGGGCAAAGUGAGUGCACUUGUGCUUCAGUUCACCUAUAAUCUGUGCUCGUUGUUUGCUUAAUUUUGGGAAGAAUAAUACAAUGAUAUAUAUUGAUAAAGAGAGAUCUAUUAGAUGUUGGUGCACUAGUUAUUAGACAUGAGAUUGAAGAGGCCGCAAUGUCCAAGUUUGAGGAGGCACAGAAGAAACAAGUGUGUAAGCUAGAUAAGGCAACAGAGAAGAGUAAUAAGGAGACGAAGGAAGUAUUGAUUGUACUUGUAUGAGCAGUCAAAAAAUUUCUAUUGAAAUGUGUAAUUUUCUUUGUCGCUUUCUUUGGAUCAGUGCUCCUAGUGAGGAAUUUCUAUUGAAGUGUGUAAUUUUCCUUGCGGUUUUUUUGGGUCAGUGCUUCUAGUGAGGAAUUUCUGUUGAAGUGUGUAAUUUUCUUUGGAUCAAUGCUUCUAGUGAGGAACAGUUGAAGCAUGUGCACAAAAUGACGUCUAAUGAAAUAAUUGAGUAGUAAACCUUUAA